Molecule: transfer RNA, 70 nt
Filed under: Staphylinidae sp. BMNH 1274232
Lineage: Eukaryota; Metazoa; Arthropoda; Insecta; Coleoptera; Staphylinidae
Description: tRNA-Glu
Rfam family: tRNA
About the family: Transfer RNA (tRNA) molecules are approximately 80 nucleotides in length. Their secondary structure includes four short double-helical elements and three loops (D, anti-codon, and T loops).
Source: RNAcentral
AUUUUUAUAGUUUAAAAAACAUUACAUUUUCAAUGUAAAGAUAAAGUAAGUAUUACCACUUUUAAAAAUA